This 492-nucleotide ribosomal RNA is filed under the name uncultured bacterium. RNAcentral's name for it is "partial 16S ribosomal RNA". It matches the Rfam family "Bacterial small subunit ribosomal RNA", at positions 29 to 507 of the family's 1533-position model. The record is from RNAcentral.
AGUGAACGCUGGCGGUAGGCCUAACACAUGCAAGUCGAACGGCAGCACAGUAAGAGCUUGCUCUUACGGGUGGCGAGUGGCGGACGGGUGAGGAAUACAUCGGAAUCUACUUUUUCGUGGGGGAUAACGUAGGGAAACUUACGCUAAUACCGCAUACGACCUACGGGUGAAAGCAGGGGAUCUUCGGACCUUGCGCGAUUGAAUGAGCCGAUGUCGGAUUAGCUAGUUGGCGGGGUAAAGGCCCACCAAGGCGACGAUCCGUAGCUGGUCUGAGAGGAUGAUCAGCCACACUGGAACUGAGACACGGUCCAGACUCCUACGGGAGGCAGCAGUGGGGAAUAUUGGACAAUGGGCGCAAGCCUGAUCUAGCCAUACUGCGUGGGUGAAGAAGGCCUUCGGGUUGUAAAGCCCUUUUGUUGGGAAAGAAAAGCAGCAGGUUAAUACCCCGCUGUUCUGACGGUACCCAAAGAAUAAGCACCGGCUAACUUCGUG